UACGUAGGGACCAAGCGUUGUUCGGAUUUACUGGGCGUAAAGGGCGCGUAGGCGGCAAUUCAAGUCAUCUGUGAAAUCCCCGGGCUCAACCUGGGAACUGCAUUUGUGACUGCACGGCUGGAGUGCGGCAGAGGGGGAUGGAAUUCCGCGUGUAGCAGUGAAAUGCGUAGAUAUGCGGAGGAACACCGAUGGCGAAGGCAAUCCCCUGGGCCUGCACUGACGCUCAUGCACGAAAGCGUGGGGAGCAAACAGG
This 253-nucleotide ribosomal RNA is filed under the name uncultured bacterium. RNAcentral's name for it is "partial 16S ribosomal RNA". It matches the Rfam family "Bacterial small subunit ribosomal RNA", at positions 524 to 776 of the family's 1533-position model. The record is from RNAcentral.